This 253-nucleotide ribosomal RNA is filed under the name uncultured bacterium. RNAcentral's name for it is "partial 16S ribosomal RNA". It matches the Rfam family "Bacterial small subunit ribosomal RNA", at positions 524 to 776 of the family's 1533-position model. The record is from RNAcentral.
UACGAAGGGGGCUAGCGUUGUUCGGAAUUACUGGGCGUAAAGCGCGUGUAGGCGGUCGUGCAAGUCGGGUGUGAAAGCCCGGGGCUCAACCCCGGAAGUGCAUUCGAUACUGCAUGGCUAGAGUACCGGAGAGGGUGGUGGAAUUCCAGGUGUAGCGGUGAAAUGCGUAGAUAUCUGGAGGAACAUCGGUGGCGAAGGCGGCAUCCUGGACCGGUAUUGACGCUGAGGCGCGAAAGCCAGGGGAGCAAACGGG